AACGAACGCUGGCGGCAGGCAUAACACAUGCAAGUCGAACGGUUGUAGCAAUACAGCAGUGGCAGACGGGUGAGUAACACGUGGGAACCUUCCUAGGGGUACGGAACAACUCAGGGAAACUUGAGCUAAUACCGUAUCCGUCCGUGAGGAGAAAGAUUUAUCGCCCUUAGACGGGCCCGCGUCGGAUUAGCUAGUUGGUGGGGUAACGGCCUACCAAGGCGACGAUCCGUAGCUGAUCUUAGAGGAUGAUCAGCCACACUGGGACUGAGACACGGCCCAGACUCCUACGGGAGGCAGCAGUGGGGAAUCUUGGACAAUGGGCGCAAGCCUGAUCCAGCCAUGCCGCGUGGGUGAAGAAGGUCUUCGGAUUGUAAAGCUCUUUUGCCAGGGACGAUAAUGACGGUACCUGGAGAAUAAGCCCCGGCAAACUUCGUGCCAGCCGCCGCGGUAA
This 451-nucleotide ribosomal RNA is filed under the name uncultured bacterium. RNAcentral describes it as "partial 16S ribosomal RNA". It matches the Rfam family "Bacterial small subunit ribosomal RNA", at positions 29 to 523 of the family's 1533-position model. The record is from RNAcentral.